UACGAAGGGGGCUAGCGUUGUUCGGAAUCACUGGGCGUAAAGGGCGCGUAGGCGGCUUGGUAAGUCGGGGGUGAAAGCCUGUGGCUCAACCACAGAAUUGCCUUCGAUACUGUCUGGCUUGAGACCGGAAGAGGUAAGUGGAACUGCGAGUGUAGAGGUGAAAUUCGUAGAUAUUCGCAAGAACACCAGUGGCGAAGGCGGCUUACUGGUCCGGUUCUGACGCUGAGGCGCGAAAGCGUGGGGAGCAAACAGG
Molecule: ribosomal RNA, 253 nt
Filed under: uncultured bacterium
Lineage: Bacteria
Description: partial 16S ribosomal RNA
Rfam family: Bacterial small subunit ribosomal RNA
Source: RNAcentral